UGUCAAGCCCCGAACAAUACGCUGUUGCCCAAUCCCGUCAGGUCCGGAAGGAAGCAGCGGUAAGUAACUUGUGUAUGUGAUUCGGGUGUCUUGGCAUAU
Molecule: signal recognition particle RNA, 99 nt
Filed under: Bacteroidota bacterium
Lineage: Bacteria; Pseudomonadati; Bacteroidota
Also listed under: 1 other name
Description: Bacteroidetes bacterium (bioreactor sludge metagenome) signal recognition particle sRNA small type
Rfam family: Bacterial small signal recognition particle RNA
About the family: The signal recognition particle (SRP) is a universally conserved ribonucleoprotein involved in the co-translational targeting of proteins to membranes. Archaeal SRP consists of a 7S RNA and homologues of the eukaryotic SRP19 and SRP54 proteins.
Source: RNAcentral